UUUAAAUAUAGUUAUAAGUUUACAUGUCCAACGUUUAAUCAUUCGUCUUAUUUAAAAUUAUUUUAUGAUCAGUAUCUUUGUUGUAAUAAGAUGAUAAAAUAUAAAUGGUACUUUAUGUAUGGUUUAUUUUUAUUUUUUUCAUAUUUUUUUAAAUAAGACGGAUAGUCAAAUAUUUGAAUAAAUAAUAUAUAUCUGCACUAGAC
RNAcentral lists this microRNA precursor (203 nucleotides) under Oryza nivara. RNAcentral's name for it is "MIR812 microRNA precursor family". It matches the Rfam family "MIR812 microRNA precursor family". Lineage: Eukaryota; Viridiplantae; Streptophyta; Magnoliopsida; Poales; Poaceae. The record is from Rfam by way of RNAcentral.